CAGCACCUCAAGUGGUCAGGAUGAUUAUUGGGCCUAAAGCGUCCGUAGCCUGUUUAAUAAAUUUUUUGUGAAAUUGUUGGGCUUAACCUAACAACGUGCAGAAAAGACUGUUAAACUUGGGACUGGGAGAGGUUAGAAGUAUCUUUGGGGUAGCGGUAAAAUGUUAUAAUCCUAAAGAGACUACCAAUGGCGAAGGCAUCUAACCAGAACAGGUCUGACGGUGAGGGACGAAAGCUAGGGGAGCAAACCGGAUUAGAGACCCGAGUAGUCC
Molecule: ribosomal RNA, 271 nt
Filed under: uncultured archaeon
Lineage: Archaea
Description: partial 16S ribosomal RNA
Rfam family: Archaeal small subunit ribosomal RNA
Source: RNAcentral